Long non-coding RNA from Nematolebias whitei (Rio pearlfish), 232 nucleotides. RefSeq lists it as uncharacterized. NCBI's taxonomy places the organism in Eukaryota, Metazoa, Chordata, Actinopteri, Cyprinodontiformes, Rivulidae. The transcript is spliced from 3 exons. The record is from RefSeq and is a predicted model, not a curated record.
GAAACCAUCGAAACCCAACGAGCUAAAGAAGUUUCCGAUCUGCAGAGUGAGGUAAAAUAUAAAGAAGGCGUGAAGGAAAAGAUUCAGAGCAGUUUGUACCAUCGGCUGCCUGAAACCACCGAGACACAGCUGGCUAAACAUCUAUCUGAGCUACAGAGUCAGACAAAGUACAGGGAAGCCGGUUUGAAGGAGGUGAGUUCCUGUUUGUACUCUCAGCUGCCCAACACCAUGG